AGCGGCGGACGGGUGAGUAACGCGUAGGAAUCUACCUGGUAGUGGGGGACAACUUGGGGAAACUCAAGCUAAUACCGCAUACGCCCUAUGGGGGAAAGCGGGGGACCUUCGGGCCUCGCGCUAUCAGAUGAGCCUGCGUAGGAUUAGCUAGUUGGUGAGGUAAAGGCUCACCAAGGCGACGAUCCUUAGCUGGUCUGAGAGGAUGAUCAGCCACACUGGGACUGAGACACGGCCCAGACUCCUACGGGAGGCAGCAGUGGGGAAUAUUGCGCAAUGGGGGCAACCCUGACGCAGCCAUGCCGCGUGUGUGAAGAAGGCCUUCGGGUUGUAAAGCACUUUAAGUGGGGAGAAAAGGGUAGCGGUUAAUAGCCGUUACCUGUGAUGUUACCCACAGAAUAAGCACCGGCUAACUCCGUGCCAGCAGCCGCGGUAAUACGGAGGGUGCGAGCGUUAAUCGGAAUUACUGGGCGUAAAGCGCGCGUAGGUGGUUUGUUAAGUCAGCUGUGAAAGCCCCGGGCUCAACCUGGGAACUGCAGUUGAUACUGGCCGACUAGAGUACGAGAGAGGGAGGUAGAAUUCCAUGUGUAGCGGUGAAAUGCGUAGAUAUAUGGAGGAAUACCGGUGGCGAAGGCGGCCUCCUGGCUCGAUACUGACGCUGAGGUGCGAAAGCGUGGGGAUCAAACAGGAUUAGAUACCCUGGUAGUCCACGCCGUAAACGAUGUCUACUAGC
Molecule: ribosomal RNA, 730 nt
Filed under: uncultured bacterium
Lineage: Bacteria
Description: bacterial SSU rRNA
Rfam family: Bacterial small subunit ribosomal RNA
Source: RNAcentral